This 429-nucleotide ribosomal RNA is filed under the name Gemmatimonadota bacterium. RNAcentral describes it as "Gemmatimonadetes bacterium partial 16S ribosomal RNA". It matches the Rfam family "Bacterial small subunit ribosomal RNA", at positions 355 to 776 of the family's 1533-position model. The record is from RNAcentral. Lineage: Bacteria; Pseudomonadati; Gemmatimonadota.
UAGGGAAUCUUCGGCAAUGGACGAAAGUCUUACCGAGCAACGCCGCGUGAGUGAAGAAGGUUUUCGGAUCGUAAAACUCUGUUGUUAGAGAAGAACAAGGACGUUAGUAACUGAACGUCCCCUGACGGUAUCUAACCAGAAAGCCACGGCUAACUACGUGCCAGCAGCCGCGGUAAUACGUAGGUGGCAAGCGUUGUCCGGAUUUAUUGGGCGUAAAGCGAGCGCAGGCGGUUUCUUAAGUCUGAUGUGAAAGCCCCCGGCUCAACCGGGGAGGGUCAUUGGAAACUGGGAGACUUGAGUGCAGAAGAGGAGAGUGGAAUUCCAUGGGUAGCGGUGAAAUGCGUAGAUAUAUGGAGGAACACCAGUGGCGAAGGCGGCUCUCUGGUCUGUAACUGACGCUGAGGCUCGAAAGCGUGGGGAGCAAACAGG